Molecule: long non-coding RNA, 3023 nt
Organism: Fukomys damarensis (Damara mole-rat)
Lineage: Eukaryota; Metazoa; Chordata; Mammalia; Rodentia; Bathyergidae
Exons: 5
Source: RefSeq, a predicted model, not a curated record
UCUUCAGGCGCCUGUCUUUGUAGGACCUGGACUCCAUCCUCCCUUUCCUGCUGCUCUGUUGCCUGAUGUGAAGAUGAAGGCCAAGGAGGACACCAGGGCAGGCCGGGGAGAGGCUUGUGCUGCUGUGAAGUUGGCUUCUGGCCAGGACCUGCCUGCCUCAGUGAAUUCCCUUAGAGCCUUGAUGGGUGCGGGACGCAUCCCUCCAAUGGUGACUUUGGCCCUGGAACAUCGUGGGUGGCUUCUUUCUAAGAGCAGUGCGCACGUCAGGGAGGGCGUGGAAGGCGGGCCGGGGCGCUGGACACCCGCUUUCGAGAUGCUGCCCUUGGAGAGGAAAGGGAGAUGCUGGAUUUCUCAGGAACUCGUUAAGAAAAUACAUUUUUUUCUUGCAUUUUAAUAAAGACUUCUUGGGGAAGGGGAAAGAACUCUUGAAUAUCAUCUUUUUUCCCCCGGGGUUUUGACCACAGCACUAACCCAUUAGGAGAACUGGAAGGCUGUUCCAGGGUGCUGCCUCCUGCGUGGUUGGGGGCAGGGGUGUCUUUCCUGCUCCACUGUCUAUCCGCAGCCCUGCGCUGCCUGGGCACAGUGCCGAGAAGUCUUCCUGUGCUGCGGUUUAAUGGUGAUUUAACGUUGCAUGCUGAAUUUUCGGGUCGUGUUCGAAAAAUAUAUUACUGACCUUUAGAGCAUUUUUUUAAAGCAGCAAAACCAUGUCAUUUUAUUUUCUUUUUGUGUUUUAACCUUGGGAAAGAAGUCUCUUCCCAUUAUUGGAAGCUGAAUUGAAGACAUCCUGGAGGAUUGGCUGAGGCAAUUCCUGUUGAUUUGAGGAUAGCUACUCUCCACAAAGCCAAAAUCGAGAGGAGACGUCUGCCCUUCUGCCCUGGUCCUGCUCCACCCUCGACCCACCCGGGACCUUGCUGGGUGUGACGUCACGGAGGUGGACUGAGAGGAGGCUGCGGGGCUGGGCUCCCACUCCCACCCAGGCUGCGCCCGCGUGGCACGGUGACCUCUAAGUGCCCCUGCCCCAUUCCCAGACCAGCACUGCCCGUAGCCGUGGCUAGGCUUCAGUGCACUGUCUGCAUUUCAUGUGUUAGUAAUAGGAAAAAAAACUGGUUCAAGGGUUUGUGAAAAGAAGUGACAGAAGGAGGAGAAUGCUGUGCUUCGCCAAUAAGAUAGGGUUUGUCCCUUCUCUCCCUCAUCAGCUGACAGCUGCCUGCAGAGCCUCGCACUGGACUUGGAAGCCCCACAGGGGCAGCACACGGGGCUCCUGGCAGCUGUGCCUUGAGGUUCGGACCGGCGAGCAUAACUGACCGCUGUGUGCAGGGUUAAAGCUCCCUCCUGCUGUGCACUUCCUGGGUCCCUGGACACCCAGGCAGCCGGCAUCCAGCCCUGAUGACAACUCCCGAGCGCCUGAGGCCCCAGAGCCUGCCUGUUGGCUUUUUCAGAGACUUGGGAAACUAAGCCGCGCACGGAGGGGUUGCCAACUGGCUCCUGUCUGCAUGAUCCUCUGCUGUGUCCCGGUAUGGGUGGCCGUUUUGACCUGGGCUGGCAGCUGCUACUUGCUCUCUGCUCUCUGGUCAGUCAGGCUGUUGGACAUCCAGCCUCGGUUCUCUGGACACCCACCCCGAGGGGAGAUUUGCACGUCCACACAGAAUGAACCUGGCAAGGCUCUUGGCCUUACGGAGCUUCGGAUCAGAGGUGGAGAGAAGGCGCAGCCCCAUGCGUGGACAAGCACAAGCCUCUCAGCUGUGCAGGGAGGAGCGGGGCCAUGACCUUUUCCGGUGAGAACGGUGUAGGCAGUGUUCCUGUACAUGGGGUGAAAAGCCAGCAUGUCGCUUACUUGCAUCGGUUCUCCUCGGUUAUACAGUCCAGCUAAGCAUACCAUAGCAUCAGACUGCAUUUCGACGCAGGACUCACAGAACACUAAAAUCACAGCAGCACUGGGGACUUGGAACACCUCUCUCCGAAACAAGCCAAGUAGACCACCCACUAGCAAAGGUCCCCCCUGAUGUCCUUGAUGUGUACUGCUGUCAUGAGCUUCUCAUCUCCCUCACUGAGACUUUCUGCUGAUGUUGCUGGAUCAGGAGCCUGACGGGGAAUUUUUUCCAAACCACCCAGUUCUUGGAUUCUUCCAUGCCAAACAGGCAUCCAUCAAUUCAACUCAAUUCCAACACGAAGAGAGUGGAGUUAGCCCAGACCCUACAGUGUAAGGGCUCAGUCUAGGACACCGCCCUGGCCCCUCUUACCUCUGACUGACUAUAUAUCACACCAUCUCCUCCUCAUGUUUGAUAAUUUGCUUGAACAACACACAGAACUCAGGAAGUGCUUGUCUAAUACCAUGUGUUUAUUGUAAUGCACAUAAAUCAGGAAGUGCUUUGUGCCCUUAUAGAUGCAUUGCUUCACAAGACUCUGGCGUAUCCAGGAGUUGGGUACCCUCCAUACCCCAUUGUUUAGAUAUCCAUUACAUAGGCAUGACUCAUCAAAUUAUCGAUACUGUGACUGAUGCAAUCUCCAGCCCUUCUCCCCUCCCAGAAGGCUGGGUGUGGGGUGAACAUUGCAAAUUACGAUCAAGACUUCAUCAUUCUGACAAACAUUCCCUCUCCUGAUGACAUCUAGGGGCCACCAAAAAUUGUGUCAUUGGAAAAAAAGGCCAUUGUUAUUAUUCAGGAAAGCCCAAAGUUUUCACUAGUGCUGUUCCAGGAAUUAAGGGACGCGCCUAAUACCAUCCGCAAUACCACUGGCUAUGGUGCCAAUAGACAUGCCUGGAUGGCUGGAGACCCACCAGUUCCAGGACCUACGAUAACAUCUUGUCACUUCCUUUUCUCAGAUGGCUGGAGCGGUAACAGCAGCUCUUCACAGCCUCUCUGGAGAUGUCCAGUGAGACUGAGCCAUAGCCAGUUUGGCCAUGGGGGUCCUUGUGUCUGUCGCCUUCAUCCUCCCUCACCACCCUGCCUCCUGGUACUGCUGUCUCAGGGAGCGGCUACCGUCUCAUCUUUGCCUUGAGCUCUGUUUCUCUGGAACUUGGACUU